GCGGGCGUAGUUCAGCGGUAGAAUGUCUCCCUUCCAAGGAGAAGGUCACCGGUUCAAAUCCGGCCGCCCGCUCCA
Molecule: transfer RNA, 75 nt
Filed under: Candidatus Gottesmanbacteria bacterium
Lineage: Bacteria; Candidatus Gottesmaniibacteriota
Description: tRNA-Gly
Rfam family: tRNA
About the family: Transfer RNA (tRNA) molecules are approximately 80 nucleotides in length. Their secondary structure includes four short double-helical elements and three loops (D, anti-codon, and T loops).
Source: RNAcentral